CCUACGGGAGGCAGCAGUAGGGAAUAUUGCUCAAUGGGGGAAACCCUGAAGCAGCAACGCCGCGUGGAGGAUGAAGGCUCUCGGAUUGUAAACCCCCUUUGUUAGAGAAGAUAAUGACGGUACCUAACGAAUAAGCACCGGCUAACUCCGUGCCAGCAGCCGCGGCUAUACGGAGGGUGUAAGCGUUACUCGGAAUCACUGGGCGUUAAGAGCGCGUAGGCGGGAUAGCAAGUCAGAUGUGAAAUCGUAUGGCUUAACCAUAGAACUGCAUUUGAAACUGUUAGUCUGGAGUAUGGGUGAGGUAGGUGGAAUUCUUGGUGUAGGGGUGAAAUCCGUAGAGAUCAAGAAGAACACUGAUUGCGAAGGCAGCCUACUAGAACGUAACUGACGCUGAUGCGCGAAAGCGUGGGGAGCAAACAGGAUUAGAUACCCGAGUAGUC
Molecule: ribosomal RNA, 440 nt
Filed under: uncultured bacterium
Lineage: Bacteria
Description: partial 16S ribosomal RNA
Rfam family: Bacterial small subunit ribosomal RNA
Source: RNAcentral